AGCCAUGCAUGUCUAAGUAUAAGCAAUUAUACCGCGAAACUGCGAAUGGCUCAUUAUAUAAGUUAUCGUUUAUUUGAUAAUACUUUACUACUUGGAUAACCGUGGUAAUUCUAGAGCUAAUACAUGCUAAAAAUCCCGACUUCGGAAGGGUUGUAUUUAUUAGAUUAAAAACCAAUGCCCCUCGGGGCUCUCUGGUGAAUCAUGAUAACUAGUCGAAUCGACAGGCCUUAUGCCGGCGAUGGCUCAUUCAAAUUUCUUCCCUAUCAACUUUCGAUGUUUGGGUCUUGUCCAAACAUGGUGGCAACGGGUAACGGAGGGUUAGGGCUCGACCCCGGAGAAGGAGCCUGAGAAACGGCUACUACAUCCAAGGAAGGCAGCAGGCGCGCAAAUUACCCAAUCCCGACACGGGGAGGUAGUGACAAUAAAUACUGAUACAGGGCUCUUUUGGGUCUUGUAAUCGGAAUGAGUACAAUUUAAAUCCCUUAACGAGGAACAAUUGGAGGGCAAGUCUGGUGCCAGCAGCCGCGGUAAUUCCAGCUCCAAUAGCGUAUAUUAAAGUUGUUGUGGUUAAAAAGCUCGUAGUUGAACCUUGGGCCUGGCUGGCCGGUCCGCCUCACCGCGUGCACUGGUCCGGCCGGGCCUUUCCCUCUGCGGAACCCCAUGCCCUUCACUGGGUGUGGCGGGGAAACAGGACUUUUACUUUGAAAAAAUUAGAGUGCUCAAGGCAGGCCUAUGCUCGAAUACAUUAGCAUGGAAUAAUAGAAUAGGACGUGUGGUUCUAUUUUGUUGGUUUCUAGGACCGCCGUAAUGAUUAAUAGGGACAGUCGGGGGCAUCAGUAUUCAAUUGUCAGAGGUGAAAUUCUUGGAUUUAUUGAAGACUAACUACUGCGAAAGCAUUUGCCAAGGAUGUUUUCAUUAUCAGAAC
Molecule: ribosomal RNA, 925 nt
Filed under: uncultured Ascomycota
Lineage: Eukaryota; Fungi; Ascomycota
Description: SSU rRNA
Rfam family: Eukaryotic small subunit ribosomal RNA
Source: RNAcentral